GCUAUCAUUCUCAGGUAAGA
RNAcentral lists this small nuclear RNA (20 nucleotides) under Arabidopsis thaliana (thale cress). RNAcentral's name for it is "snRNA_00783". Lineage: Eukaryota; Viridiplantae; Streptophyta; Magnoliopsida; Brassicales; Brassicaceae. The record is from RNAcentral.